RNAcentral lists this transfer RNA (56 nucleotides) under Pachypsylla venusta (hackberry petiole gall psyllid). RNAcentral describes it as "tRNA-Ala". The record is from RNAcentral. Lineage: Eukaryota; Metazoa; Arthropoda; Insecta; Hemiptera; Aphalaridae.
GGCUAAAGUUUAAUUAAACAUUUAAUUUGCAUUUAGAAAAAACUUAUUGUUAGCCU